AAGACUGCGUGCUGUUUUUUUGCCAGUGCUCUUAAUUAUUAUUUAGGAUAUACCUGUAAGUGACUCUGUGAAGUGGGCUUGGUAAUUUUCAAAUAAACUGGCUCAUUUCUUAGCUGCUUUGCUGCUUCGCCUCCAUCCGGCUGGCUCAUCGCCAUCUGAUGGCCUCAGCCUCCAGCAGCAGCGCCCGCUCUCUGUUCGCCGAAUCGCGCACCAAACUGGUCGAACGCGUGGCCGGGAACGUGGAGGCCUGCGGGUCCGUGUGUCGACAGGUGGUGCGAGGCUCCAGGUCACACGAGACACUGCUGGCGGCAGCGCGCGCCACUGCUGCUCAGGAGUCAGCCAUCGACCACACGUGCGGAACAGUUCAGAAGUUACGCAUUCUCGCCACUCACCUGGGCUACCAGUGGGAGUCGAUCGCUCGCUCCGCUCACCAGAUUCCGCCGCUGGCUGAGCAGGCGAGGGCACUGCCGCCGCCCAACUGAGCAGACGAGGGCACUCCCGCCGCCCAACUGAGCAGGCGAGGGCACUCCCGCCGCCCAACUGAGCAGGCGAGGGCACUGCCACCGCCCAACUGAGCAGGCGAGGGCACUGCCACCGCCCAACUGAGCAGGCGAGGGCACUGCCACCGCCCAACUGAGCAGGCGAGGGCACUCCCACCGCCCAACUAAGGAGUGAGGGCACUCCCGCCGCUGGCUGAGCAGGUGAGGGCACUGCCGCCGCCCAACUGAGGAGUGAGGGCACUCCCACCGCCCAACUGAGGGGUGAGGGCACUCCGCCGCCCAACUGAGCAGGCGAGGGCACUCCCGCCACCCAACUGAGCAGGCGAGGGCACUCCCGCCGCCCAACUGAGCAGGCGAGGGCACUCCCACCUACCUCCUAACUGAGGCACUCGUACGGACUUUACGGAACGACUUUUACGACGACGGUUAGAGCCGUUCUCUCUUCACACCACAAUGCAGCUAACUGUCGAGUUCAGUGGCGGUGCCGAGCUCCUCUUCGGGAACGUCAAACAGCACAAAGUGACGCUGCCGGAGCGGGGCGACGGAGACUCGGUGUGGACGAUGGAGGGCCUGCUGCCCUGGCUGAGGGAUAACCUGCUGAAGGAGCGGCCAGAGCUAUUCAUGCAGGGGGAGACGGUUCGUCCAGGGAUCCUGGUUCUGGUGAAUGACGCAGACUGGGAACUUCUCGGUCAGCUGAGCUACGAACUGCAGCCGGAUGACACGGUCGUGUUCAUAUCAACACUUCACGGCGGGUAGUCGCUUCACCCGGGAUGACAGAAGGUAAAGCUGGCCGCACUUGACUCUCCAAGGCGGUAGGGUUAUCAUCCGUGCUGACAGGCAAGUCUGGCCGUAUCAGAGCCCAUAAGGUGGCCAGUUAGUCUGGCCGUUUGGACUGAUAUAGAGCUAGGCUAGCCUCAUUAGACACUUUACGGCGGUUAGCCUAGCCUUCCGUGCAGAAAGAAGAGCCAGGCUGCCUUUGGUCCCACGCUGCGGGCAGACCACUUCGCUUACAGGUCAGGCUUACAUCAUCCAACCCCACAAGUUAACUGGCUUAUCCAGCCUGGAAAGCGCAUUAAACAUUAUGGAGAUCUCAAGCCUGUCGGUGUUUUCUUGGCUGAACAAACGCGUUUGGAGAAAACUGGUCCCUGGAAACUUCGGUCGCUCCAUAGACAUUGGUCAGCCUGGUGCUAUGGGAUGGUGCGUGAGUCGUGACUCACUCGUGUCCCGUGGUCUGAACGUGACGGUGGUCGUGUUUUUUGGGGUCACAACGUGUCAUGUAAUUAGUGAGUGCUGAUGUUGUACCGCUUGUUUUAUUGUGGUGGUUUUAUGUAUGGUGUAUGCCUAAUGUUUUGUUUCUGGAAACUUAAAAAAACGACGGUCGAGUAACGCGUCGAAUAAAUCAUGCUUUUUUUACACCUA
This is an RNA transcript of Amphibalanus amphitrite, 1919 nucleotides long. It is a transcript of the gene named ubiquitin-related modifier 1-like, with no coding region annotated. The transcript is spliced from 5 exons. NCBI's taxonomy places the organism in Eukaryota, Metazoa, Arthropoda, Thecostraca, Balanomorpha, Balanidae. The record is from RefSeq and is a predicted model, not a curated record.